Molecule: ribosomal RNA, 450 nt
Filed under: uncultured bacterium
Lineage: Bacteria
Description: bacterial SSU rRNA
Rfam family: Bacterial small subunit ribosomal RNA
Source: RNAcentral
GUGGGGAAUUUUGGACAAUGGGCGCAAGCCUGAUCCAGCCAUUCCGCGUGAGUGAAGAAGGCCUUCGGGUUGUAAACUGCUUUUGUACGGAACGAAAAGGCUCUGGUUAAUACCUGGGGUUGAUGACGGUACCGUAAGAAUAAGCACCGGCUAACUACGUGCCAGCAGCCGCGGUAAUACGUAGGGUGCGAGCGUUAAUCGGAAUUACUGGGCGUAAAGCGUGCGCAGGCGGUUUUGUAAGACAGGCGUGAAAUCCCCGGGCUCAACCUGGGAAUGGCGCUUGUGACUGCAAAGCUGGAGUGCGGCAGAGGGGGAUGGAAUUCCGCGUGUAGCAGUGAAAUGCGUAGAUAUGCGGAGGAACACCGAUGGCGAAGGCAAUCCCCUGGGCCUGCACUGACGCUCAUGCACGAAAGCGUGGGGAGCAAACAGGAUUAGAUACCCCUGUAGUCC